Long non-coding RNA from Passer domesticus (house sparrow), 2004 nucleotides. RefSeq lists it as uncharacterized. Lineage: Eukaryota; Metazoa; Chordata; Aves; Passeriformes; Passeridae. The transcript has 2 exons. The record is from RefSeq and is a predicted model, not a curated record.
AGCCCAAGGCUGGCACCAGGGAGGUUCCUACUCCCAGCCCCCAUGCCAUGGCUGAGAUGGAUUUCACUGACGAGCUCAUUACACAUCAUGGCUGGGGGGAGCAGAAACCAGAAUCCAAGGCUGCUCCCUUCCACACUCCCACAGUAAUUGUGCUGUGAAUAAAUGGGUGGCAAAAGGUUUAAACUCUUGAAUUCUUCCUGCUCCCUGCACCCUCACAGCUGGGGGAGAAGAGAUCUGGGAACACACUCUGCACUCUCUGUGCAUUGGUUGCAGCAUCUCUGGUGCUGUGGAAGUCCACAUCUGUGAUCUUUCAGCAAAUUCUCUCUGUGACACAUGGCGGCACGAGGGAUGCCCAAGUGAUGUAAGUCUCAUGGGCAGCAUGAACAUAUAUGAAGACAAAGAUAUAAAACUCUUAGAGAGUGUCCAAAGGAGGGCAAAGAAGAUGGUGGAGGGCCUGCAGAGGAAGCUGUAUGAGCAGCUGCUGUGGUCACUUGGUCUGUUCAGCCUGGGGAAGAGGAGACUGAGGACAGACCUCAUUGCAGUUACACCUUCAUCAUGGGGGGAGGAGGAGGGGCACGCAAUGAUCUCUCCUCUCUGGUGACCAGUGACAGGACCUGGGGAAACAGCACAAAGCUGAGUCAGGGAAGGUUUAAUCUCAGUAUUAGGAAAAGGUUUUUCACACAGAAGGUGGUUGGGCACCCCAGGGAAGGGAUCAUAGCGCCAAACCUGACAGAGUUCAAGAAAUAUUUGGACAACACUCUCAGGCGCAUGGUGCGAUUUUUUGGGACUGUUCUGUGCAGGGCCAAAAGCUGGACUUCAAUGUUCCUUGUGGGUCCUUUCCAACUCAGGAUAUUCUAUGAUUCUAUGAUUAGCAUUAACUAGCUGCCACUGUAGAGCAAGCAUGGAAACCAAGGGUAGGAAUUGUCCCUAAUACUGGUUCCAUUUCAUUGUUACCUCUUGGUGUCACACUAACUUCUGAAAAUAAAUCUAUUUUGCAUUCAGGAGUAGACGUUAGUUGCAGGAUGCAGCCUAUACAAUUUAAAAUAAAUAAUAAUAUCAUGUCCACUGCAGCACAAUGCCAUCAGUCUCCAGUUUCAUCCUCAUUCUGUAACACAGCAAAGGUGUUAUCGUCCAUGUGAAUGACAGACAAGGAUACACAACUUUUCUGAGGAGUCCUAAGGGUCAAAUACUGACAUGACUAAGCAGGAAGCAAAUUGUGGAUGAAUAAUACCUUAUGAAAUGUACUACUUGGUUUCCUAAUAAGAACCUAGAACUGUUAGCAUCCAUAAUUGUAUUUGUGUUUAUGUUACUCCAGACAUCACAGAAAUAGCACUGAAUAUAUGCUAAUUUUUUUCUUAGACAGCUACUGUAAGUCAUUCAAAGAUUAGUUCCCCUUUUCAGCGGGGGAAACAUUUCUUCUCACCUUUCCCAGAUUUUUGGAUGUUGCUGAAAUCUCAUGCACAGAGUCCUUAAAUCAUUGCCUGUUCUCUGCUCUUCGAGGAUGACUUCGGCAGAAUGGUGCCUUGAUUUUAUUGGUUCCAGAGUCUUUCUUUCCCAUUUUCAUCUGCAACAUUUAAAAACACUCAGCACCACAUGGAAGCUAGGGGCCUGAUAGUACAAAUAUUUCACACUAAUAUCCAUUUGUUGAACUUACUUUUAUGCACAAGUCCUGAGAAAUUCUGUCUUACAGAUUUAAAAGGAUUUAGGAACUUGUCUACUGCCUGGGGCAAUAACCAGACUUUCUUAUAGGACAUACCAAGCUUUUGUGCAUUGCAGACACUGCAGAUACUUUUGUGCAUUGCAGAUACUGUGGUUCCCAUGUGUUUGGGAGAUGAACACUCAAUACUACAGAAGUGAUAGUUCAUGGGGUAAAAAACAGUGAUUUAGAGAAGGUGUUUAUAUCAGAACCGAUGUUACUCACACUAUGUCAGUUCCUUUUUGAAGAUGACAUGUCAUUUUGUCUUAAAAAAAAAAAAAAAAAAAAAAAAACAACCCAAACUCCAA